Molecule: ribosomal RNA, 243 nt
Filed under: uncultured Actinomycetales bacterium
Lineage: Bacteria; Bacillati; Actinomycetota; Actinomycetes; Actinomycetales
Description: partial 16S ribosomal RNA
Rfam family: Bacterial small subunit ribosomal RNA
Source: RNAcentral
GCUCGAGUGGCAACGGGUGAGUAACACGUGAGUAACCUGCCCUUGACUUUGGGAUAACUUCAGGAAACUGGGGCUAAUACCGGAUAGGAGCUCCUGCUGCAUGGUGGGGGUUGGAAAGUUUCGGCGGUUGGGGAUGGACUCGCGGCUUAUCAGCUUGUUGGUGGGGUAGUGGCUUACCAAGGCUUUGACGGGUAGCCGGCCUGAGAGGGUGACCGGCCACAUUGGGACUGAGAUACGGCCCAG